UUGCUUUCUUCAGUGAAAUACAGACUGUAUAAAACGCCAAAUAUACCAAAAGCUAAAUGAAGCAGUGAUUUACGACUAUUUAACCGUGUGUUAAUCCUUACUGAAACAUUCAAACUACAAACAUUUAACCAGUUAAACAUAAUGAAUACAUGACAACUAGAUACAAACAUUUUAUAAAAAAUAAUUCAUACAAAAAGUCAAGAGUUGGCUAUAACAUGAGUACAAACAAAGUGAGUGUGUUUGUGUACAUUAUAAAUUCCCCAUCAUAAAAAUGUAUCUCCAUUCCCCAAUCAAACACCUUCAUCGACACCAAAAGCAAAACAAAAAAUGUGUACUUUUUCUCCAAUCUGGCAACCCAUAAAAUUCUACAUAGCCUUGUAUAAAAUGCAUUAUGAAGAAAAUCGUGUAGGUCAUUUGAGGCUUGACCCCUGCUUUGCUUCAGCUGAGGAGAAGAGCAUAUAUCUGAGUAGCUUUAGGUACGAUCAUCCACGUACAGCACACCCAAACUGAUCAUCCACGUACAGCAUACCCAAAACUGCAUAUCGUGGUUUCCCCUCCUGAAUUGAGACAACUAAUAACAUGAGAUGCCGUGCAAUAAUACAAUUUAAAAAACGGUCUUACUCAAAUAAAAUAUAUUUAAAAAAAGACGUAUACAAAAUAUACAAGAGGGGUAACAUUUGAAUACAUUAUUUUCUUUUAGAAAAUACGAACUGUGUACGAUGCUAACUUUUGCUAUACAAGGUUUGUCAGAAUUAAAACUGGGAACUCACAGCCUUUAUCCUGCCAUGAAUAAGUACAACAGUGAUGGGUUUUGUGGGAUUGAAAGGUAUGUCAAUGUUACAUUUACCAGUCAUUUUUUACAAAAGAGAACAUAGAUGUAAGGUUGUAAGGCAAUGUCAAAAUCAGUUCAGGGUAACAAUGGAGUCCCUAACUGUGAUUGUUUUUUAAUUAAAAAUUGUUUUAAAAAAUAAAAAUAAUUAGCUUCUCAGCAAAGAGCAAUUGCUCAAGCAAGAAUUUUGCAAUGACUGUCUAGGAGUGGUGUGAGUGGAGGAGGGGAACCUAGCUGUUAUUGGCAGAGAGGGUCUGAGUGGGGAGGGAACCUAGCUGUUAUUGGCAGAGAGGGUCUGAGUGGGGAGGGAACCUAGCUGUUAUUGGCAGAGAGGGUCUGAGUGGGGAGGGAACCUAGCUGUUAUUGGCAGAGAGGGUCUGAGUGGGGAGGGAACCUAGCUGUUAUUGGCAGAGAGGGUCUGAGUGGGGAGGGA
Long non-coding RNA from Oncorhynchus tshawytscha (Chinook salmon), 1262 nucleotides. The record is from Ensembl. NCBI's taxonomy places the organism in Eukaryota, Metazoa, Chordata, Actinopteri, Salmoniformes, Salmonidae.